AUUGAACGCUGGCGGCAUGCCUUACACAUGCAAGUCGAACGGCAGCACGGGUGCUUGCACCUGGUGGCGAGUGGCGAACGGGUGAGUAAUACAUCGGAACAUGUCCUGUAGUGGGGGAUAGCCCGGCGAAAGCCGGAUUAAUACCGCAUACGAUCUACGGAUGAAAGCGGGGGACCUUCGGGCCUCGCGCUAUAGGGUUGGCCGAUGGCUGAUUAGCUAGUUGGUGGGGUAAAGGCCUACCAAGGCGACGAGCAGUAGCUGGUCUGAGAGGACGACCAGCCACACUGGGACUGGAACACGGCCCAGACUCCUACGGGAGGCAGCAGUGGGGAAUUUUGGACAAUGGGCGAAAGCCUGAUCCAGCAAUGCCGCGUGUGUGAAGAAGGCCUUCGGGUUGUAAAGCACUUUUGUCCGGAAAGAAAUCCUUGGCCCUAAUACGGUCGGGGGAUGACGGUACCGGAAGAAUAAGCACCGGCUAACUACGUG
RNAcentral lists this ribosomal RNA (486 nucleotides) under uncultured bacterium. RNAcentral's name for it is "partial 16S ribosomal RNA". It matches the Rfam family "Bacterial small subunit ribosomal RNA", at positions 30 to 507 of the family's 1533-position model. The record is from RNAcentral.